This 67-nucleotide transfer RNA is filed under the name Kolla paulula. Its description in RNAcentral is "tRNA-Leu". Lineage: Eukaryota; Metazoa; Arthropoda; Insecta; Hemiptera; Cicadellidae. The record is from RNAcentral. RNAcentral also lists the same sequence under 1 other name.
UUCAGUAUGGCAGAAUCUAGUGCCAUGAAUUUAAGAUUCAUAUAUAAAUAUUAUUAUUUUGCUGAAA